Molecule: ribosomal RNA, 268 nt
Filed under: uncultured bacterium
Lineage: Bacteria
Description: partial 16S ribosomal RNA
Rfam family: Bacterial small subunit ribosomal RNA
Source: RNAcentral
UACGGGGGGAGCAAGCGUUGUUCGGAUUUACUGGGCGUAAAGGGCGCGUAGGCGGCCACCGCAGGUCGAUUGUGAAAUCUCCGGGCUUAACCCGGAAAGGUCAACCGAGGAACGUCGAUCGAUACUGCUGUUCUUGAGGAUUGCAGAGGAGACUGGAAUUCCCGGUGUAGCGGUGAAAUGUGUAGAGAUCGGGAGGAACACCGGUGGCGAAGGCGGGUCUCUGGGCAAUUCCUGACGCUGAGGCGCGAAAGCGUGGGGAGCAAACGGG